AGGACGAACGCUGGCGGCGUGCUUAACACAUGCAAGUCGAACGGAAAGGCCCGCUUGCGGGUACUCGAGUGGCGAACGGGUGAGUAACACGUGGGCAACCUGCCCUCAGCUUCGGGAUAACACUUGGAAACAGGUGCUAAUACCGGAUAAUAACCUUUCAUCGCAUGGUGGUUGGUUCAAAGUUUUUCGGCUGAGGAUGGGCCCGCGGCCUAUCAGCUUGUUGGUGGGGUAAUGGCCUACCAAGGCGACG
Molecule: ribosomal RNA, 250 nt
Filed under: uncultured bacterium
Lineage: Bacteria
Description: partial small subunit ribosomal RNA
Rfam family: Bacterial small subunit ribosomal RNA
Source: RNAcentral